Molecule: non-coding RNA, 4927 nt
Organism: Monodelphis domestica (gray short-tailed opossum)
Lineage: Eukaryota; Metazoa; Chordata; Mammalia; Didelphimorphia; Didelphidae
Source: RefSeq, a predicted model, not a curated record
GCUCGGAACCGAGGGGAAGGAGAGCUCCAACCCGAGGAGAAGCGGAGGCAGCUGGUGGGAGAUGGGCUGGGGAGGAGGCGAGAGCCGCCCGGGGAGCGAAUUCCUGGGAGCUCAGAUUGCUGCCUUUGCCUGUGAGGAGUUGGAGUUGGUGCGUGUCACUUUCAUCUGGACGACUGGGCUCCUCCUAGAGGAAAGCCCUGGCUGGUGCAGGACACUUCCUUCCUCUAGGGAGGCCCACCCCUGCUCCCGAAAAGAAAACAGGGUCCCAAAGAUAGCUAUAGUAAAUAAACCAAUGAGCGCCCGAGCGGGAACACGCCGAAGGCAGCUCUCUGCACCGCCUGGAGAGCGGAGUUCGGGAAAGGCAUUUACCAGGCCCGACCUCCAAACGCCUUCUACUUAGCCACAGGGAGCCAGCUUGAACAGCAUCUCCACCCCUGGGUCCUGGGACCCGUGAUUGUCUGUUAUCACAGCCACAAAGGCAGGACUGAACCAUGGGAGCAGAAGGGCACGCAACAACUGAUUCACAGAUGCCCUGAAGUCUAUUCAUGGAUCCCUUAGUCAUCUGUGAAUCUCAGGUUAGAAACUAUUGAUAGAUAAUUCUCUCUCUUCCUUCUCCUCCUCCUCAGUGAGUAAACAAGCAAUUUGAAAUAGUUUAUACAUGGGCAGUUUUGCAAGACGUAUUUCCAUAUUGGUCAUGUUGUGAAAGAAAAUAUGGAUCAAAAACAACUUAAAAAAUGAAGUAAAAAAAGAGUAUGCUUCGAUCUGAAUUCAGACUCCAUUCGUUCUCUCACUGGGAAGUUCCGUUUGUAAGACUAGAUUGUUGUCUCCAUGAUAUGAAUGACAAGAGCGUGUAUCUUGGAGACCUACCUCUGCAAUCUGUUGAAGUAUUUCAUUUGUAUUUGAUUGGACGUAAUUUAGCACCAUAGAUUGAAAUCAACUCCAAAUCAACCAAUUUUAAGAUAUGUGCACACACGGAGAAGAGUUCUUUCAGCUGCCCUCCAGACAAGAUGCUAUAUUUAAUGUGAGGGCAAAAGAACAUACCUGAAACCACAUGUGGGAAAGAAGAAGAAAGAGGAGAGAAAAUUCAGAUGAAGAAAUCUCUACAAAACAUUACUGGCAUAUAAUUAUCAAACCAGUUAGUUUUUAAUAGUAUUUAUAAUGCACGGUUUGGAAGAACAUGGGAACUAAGGAAACAAUGUAUUACCUUGGUUCUGCUGUUCUUUUGUUCUUUGCUUUCCCUGAUAUUUUUAUCUUUGUGGCUGACCCUCAGAAAGAAGCAAUCAGGAGCUUAUGUGGUUGUUCACAUUUUCCAGGUCUUCCUGGGUAGAAGAACCGUGGUAGGAUAUUAUGCUGAUCAUGAGACUAGGAAGAGAAUAUACAUGAAAUGGAUUCUAAACCAUGGCAAAGGCAGGUGUAGAUUUAGUCUAGAGUUAGGUCUGAUCCUCAGGGUUCUUGAACUCAGCCCUCUGUCACUCUAGAUGAGGUGCCUGGAGAUUCACACCAAAAAUGUGAUGUGGAGAUUUUGAAAGGGGAGGAAGGCUAAUGCAUCAUCUUUUCUCCCCCCCAAGUCCCCACUUUUUCCUCAAAUUACAAUGGAUUGUAUGCUUGUGAAUUCCCCUAUCCCUCAGCUUUCAUGUUGGGAACACCACUCAGUUUGUUCCUAAUGAGUAACAAAGAAGGAAGUGCUUCUUUAUCCAGUAUAAGGAAACAAAGUUCUUUCAAUCCACUCAGAUAGACUAACAAGUAACUAUUCUCAUAUAUAUAUAUUCAUAUGUAUAUAUAUAUAUAUAUACAUACAUAAAUAUAAUAUGAAUGUUGUGGCAGAAGAAUUUGAGCCAUCUUUAUUUCUGACUAAUAUUUUCUUUUCUAAAAUUAUGAUUUAAUGGAAUAAGGAGCUCCUAGUGGGAAAAUUCCCUAUGCCAGUGUUUCCCCAAUUUUUUUUUGUCUCAAGUUUCCUUGUGAUUGAAAACUGAGGAAACAAAGAGCUUUUGUUUAUAUGAUUUAUCUCUAUUUCUGUGAGAUUUAAAAUGGUUGAGGUCUUAAACUGUAGUGAUUAAAAUAGUGGUAGAUAUAAAUUGUGAUAGAUAUAAGAGAGGGUGAGUAAAUUUGACUGCAGAAAUAUGUUUCACUACAGUGUUUUGGGUUUAAAAUCAAAUAUAAGGUGGUCGCCGGGAAUAUUCCCAAUUAUUCAAAUACCCAAGUCAAUUGGGUUUUAUAGAGAUCUUAAUUAACAAUACAAUGAGUAAUCAAAGAAAGAGAGAGUAAGAAAGGAAUAAGUAUGAAGGGCCUCAAAGCCAAUAUGGCCUAGACCUGAGUCUUAAAAGAGAAAUCAGUCAGUUUUUUAUAACUCACCAUGAGAUCUGUCUAAGUAAGGAUUUCUAAUGACACCAGGCCAGCAGCAUCUCAGCUGCUUUCACCAGCUCCCUUCUCCAUCUGAAUGUUUCAGAAUCAGUCUCCUCAGAAUGAGUCUCUCCAAUCUGAAUGUUUCAGAAUCACUUUCUAGCUCUUCCCUGAGCUCUUAUUUUUAAGGGCAAAAUCUCCUAUGUCACCUCCCCUAAGUCCUUACAUCUACCAAUCACUGUAGAUGUUUCUAAAGGACCGCCCAUUUUGAAUUCACAGCUGAGUAGUUUUAAUCUCUUUAGUAAGUCAGAAAAAAAUGCUGCUGUGUCGACAAAUUUCAUUAAGAAAAAAACCUCUGAAUAAGUUAUCACCCUUUUAGGUUUAAGUAGUUUACAAGUUGCCCCACCUUUAUAGGUACUUAGUAUCCCAUUGUAUCAAUUCUAAAACAGUCAUGACUCAAAGGACUUCCUGUCCCUUCCAUAAGCAUGGAUCAAAGUACUUUUCAUUGUUCUCAAGGAGCUCUCUGUCCUAAAGUAGUCCUAAGUAGGGUGGAGUAGGGAUAUUCCCAAGGCAGGGAGCCCCCACACUCAAGUAGGGUUCUCACCAUCUGCUAGGGAAUUUUUUUAAGUCGAAGAUUCCCCAAUGGGGGAAACCCCUAACAUUCAUAAGUCUGAGAAAUUUUGAGGUUUACAUUUCUCUUUAUCAUAUUAAACAUCCAAAUAUCAGUAUUUAUUAAGGAAAUAGUUUUGAAUUUGCAGAUCACCUGAAAAAGUCUUUGGAGUUCCAGAGACCACACUCUGCCCUACAUCAAUGCAGAUUGACAAGAUAUUUGCUUUACAAUCUUAGAGAAUUAUCUGUGGCACUGAAUCUUGGCAUGACUUGUCUGUGAUCACAGAGUUAAUAUGUCAAAAGCAGGACUUGAAUGUAUUUUUCCCCCACUCCAAGGCUGGCUCUCUAUUGACUACAUCACUCUAUCACUCAAUAAUAAUACCCUUUCCUUUUUUUGCUUAAUAGGAAAGCAUUUCAGACCUCUUAAGAAUCUGUAAAGAAAAUGAGUGAAAAGGCAAGAAGAGAAAUAACAUUUCUUCAAGUGCUUUUCUCUUUAAAAAGCACUCAUACAUAAUUGAUCCUUUGUAGAACUCAUGGCAAGUCAUCUCAGUUGAUUUAUUCAGCAAUGAACACCUGGAAUCCUCUCCCAUAGCCUGCAAACUGGAAGGUAGAUUGCAAAGGGAUUCCUCUCAUGAAAAGUCUUGUUUAUGUUUUUUCUUGAAGAAGCAAUGAGGUAUAGCAAAAAUAGCAUUGGUCUUGGGGUCAAGACCUGGGUGCAAUUCGCAGCUCUACCAUUCUUUGUUUAACUGGCUAACUAGCUAGAUGAAUAAUAGAUAGAAAUAUGAAGAUAGAUAGAUAAAUGGAAAUAGGUGUACAGAGUGACAGAAUAUAGAUGGAUAAUAGAUACAUAAAUGGAUGAGUAGAAAGGUAGAUAGAUAGGUAGCUAGCCAGACUGAAAGAUAGACAUAGAUAAAUGCAAAGAUAGAAAGAUAGACAGACAACUUAUUAAGCACUUAAAUGCCAAGCCCUGGUUAAACAAGUACAAAAAAGCUAGACUGUCUCUUCCUUAAAGAAACCUGCAUUCCAAUUGGAAACACAGCAAUAUAAAGUAGAGCUAGAAAGAGAGAUCACCUAUUUUCAGAAAACAGGAGAGUGAUGGUUGGAGUGUCAACAACCUGAUGAAGAGAUUAGUGUAGGAAGUGGCAUGGAAGCCUGGUUUUAGGCAUGAUGUGACAAAAGUUCAUAUAUAAGAGCCUUGAUGAUAAGAUUUAUACUACCUAUCUUGCAGGGUAUAUUGUGAUGGCCAAAUGAGGUAAUAUUUUCAAAAUAUUAGAAAAACAUGAGCUACUAUUAUUAUUAUAACCCAUUUGCCUUCUAACUUCUCAUAUUGUUGGUUUAAAACAAGAAGUAUUUUCUUUUUCUUUUUUUUUUGUAUGGGAGAGUUUAAGGGGAAUGAGGUCUAGCUGUAGAAACACUGAUAGGAAAAAAAAGAAUGUCAAUGAAUGAUUAAAAAUAAACAAAAGAGCAAAGGGAAAUUCAGAAGGGGACAAAGAGAAGCAGACCAAUGUUAGAACUUCACUGAUAAAUUUUGAAUUAUAUAAAGAAAAGCUGUAUCCAAUGGAAAAGAUAAACUGUACUGAAAGAAAUUCAGUAUUUUAUACACAAUCCUUUCUUCUAUAUAUAUUAAAAUGCUUCUAUUUAUUGACAUGUAUUUCAUAAUAAAAAUUAUUUAAAAAUAUAUAUUGUCCUUGUGAGAUCCCAUAUAUGUUUCCUCAUUUCUUUUUGCUAACUUUUGAGUAAAGGGAUAGAAAAUGGUAGUAAAGAGGGAAGGGACCAUGUCUGUGUGCAGGUACAUGUAUGGUGUAUGUAUGUACAAUACAGUUGGCAUGUAAGAAGUCAAAGAGAUAGGGGAACCAGUGGAAAGAUAGACAAGAUUAGGGAUUUGUCAGGCAGUCAAUAAAUGUGUAUCAAGCACCUACCAUACUCUAGGAAUUGUGCUAAGCAUUGGGAAGUUUAGAAAUUUAGACCUGGAUAAGAA